AUUGAACGCUGGCGGCAGGCCUAACACAUGCAAGUCGAACGGUAACAGGAAGAAGCUUGCUUCUUUGCUGACGGGUGGCGGACGGGUGAGUAAUGUCUGGGAAACUGCCUGAUGGAGGGGGAUAACUACUGGAAACGGUAGCUAAUACCGCAUAACGUCGCAAGACCAAAAAGGGGGACCUUCGGGCCUCUUGCCAUCGGAUGUGCCCAGAUGGGAUUAGCUAGUAGGUGGGGUAACGGCUCACCUAGGCGACGAUCCCUAGCUGGUCUGAGAGGAUGACCAGCCACACUGGAACUGAGACACGGUCCAGACUCCUACGGGAGGCAGCAGUGGGGAAUAUUGCACAAUGGGCGCAAGCCUGAUGCAGCCAUGCCGCGUGUAUGAAGAAGGCCUUCGGGUUGUAAAGUACUUUCAGCGGGGAGGAAGGGAGUAAAGUUAAUACCUUUGCUCAUUGACGUUACCCGCAGAAGAAGCACCGGCUAACUCCGUG
RNAcentral lists this ribosomal RNA (490 nucleotides) under uncultured bacterium. RNAcentral describes it as "partial 16S ribosomal RNA". It matches the Rfam family "Bacterial small subunit ribosomal RNA", at positions 30 to 507 of the family's 1533-position model. The record is from RNAcentral.